UACGUAGGGAGCGAGCGUUGUCCGGAUUUACUGGGUGUAAAGGGUGCGUAGGCGGCUUGGCAAGUCAGUAGUGAAAUCCAUGGGCUUAACCCAUGAACUGCUAUUGAAACUGUCGAGCUUGAGUGAAGUAGAGGUAGGCGGAAUUCCCGGUGUAGCGGUGAAAUGCAUAGAUAUCGCGCAGAACUCCGAUUGCGAAGGCAGCAUGCCGGCUCCACACUGACGCUGAGGCACGAAAGCGUGGGUAUCGAACAGG
This 253-nucleotide ribosomal RNA is filed under the name uncultured Ruminococcus sp. RNAcentral describes it as "partial 16S ribosomal RNA". It matches the Rfam family "Bacterial small subunit ribosomal RNA", at positions 524 to 776 of the family's 1533-position model. Lineage: Bacteria; Bacillati; Bacillota; Clostridia; Eubacteriales; Oscillospiraceae. The record is from RNAcentral.